GUUAGUUUUAGGUUGGAUGUUUUUUCCUGUAAAUAUGGCGGUGAAGUUAGUUUUAGGUUGGAUAUAUUUUCCUGUAAAUACGGCGGUGAAGUUAGUUUUAGGUUGGAUAUAUUUUCCUGUAAAUAUGACGGUGAAGUUAGUUUUAGGUUGGAUGUUUUUUCCUGUAAAUAUGGUGGUGAAGUUAGUUUUAGGUUGGAUAUAUUUUCCUGUAAAUACGGCGGUGAAGUUAGUUUUAGGUUGGAUAUAUUUUCCUGUAAAUACGGCGGUGAAGUUAGUUUUAGGUUGGAUAUAUUUUCUUAUAAAUACGGCGGUGAAGUUAGUUUUAGGUUGGAUAUAUUUUCCUGUAAAUACGGCGGUGAAGUUAGUUUUAGGUUGGAUAUAUUUUCAUGUAAAUAUGGCGGUGAAGUUAGUUUUAGGUUGGAUAUAUUUUCCUGUAAAUACGGCGGUGAAGUUAGUUUUAGGUUGGAUAUAUUUUCCUGUAAAUAUGACGGUGAAGUUAGUUUUAGGUUGGAUGUUUUUUCCUAUAAAUAUGGUGGUGAAGUUAGUUUUAGGUUGGAUGUUUUUUCCUGUAAAUAUGGCGGUGAAGUUAGUUUUAGGUUGGAUAUAUUUUCCUGUAAAUACGGCGGUGAAGUUAGUUUUAGGUUGGAUAUAUUUUCCUGUAAAUACGGC
Non-coding RNA from Xyrichtys novacula (pearly razorfish), 669 nucleotides. The record is from the annotation of a GenBank genome assembly. NCBI's taxonomy places the organism in Eukaryota, Metazoa, Chordata, Actinopteri, Labriformes, Labridae.